This 787-nucleotide ribosomal RNA is filed under the name uncultured Parvimonas sp. RNAcentral describes it as "bacterial SSU rRNA". It matches the Rfam family "Bacterial small subunit ribosomal RNA", at positions 28 to 819 of the family's 1533-position model. Lineage: Bacteria; Bacillati; Bacillota; Tissierellia; Tissierellales; Peptoniphilaceae. The record is from RNAcentral.
GACGAACGCUGGCGGCGUGCUUAACACAUGCAAGUCGAACGUGAUUUUUGUGGAAAGCCCUUCGGGGACGGAAAUGAAAUGAAAGUGGCGAACGGGUGAGUAACACGUGAGCAACCUACCUUACACAGGGGGAUAGCCGUUGGAAACGACGAUUAAUACCGCAUGAGACCACAAAGCCACAUGGCUUAGGGGUAAAAGAUUUAUCGGUGUAAGAUGGGCUCGCGUCUGAUUAGCUAGUUGGAAGGGUAAAGGCCUACCAAGGCAACGAUCAGUAGCCGGUCUGAGAGGAUGAACGGCCACAUUGGAACUGAGACACGGUCCAAACUCCUACGGGAGGCAGCAGUGGGGAAUAUUGCACAAUGGGGGGAACCCUGAUGCAGCGACGCCGCGUGAGCGAAGAAGGUUUUCGAAUCGUAAAGCUCUGUCCUAUGAGAAGAUAAUGACGGUAUCAUAGGAGGAAGCCCCGGCUAAAUACGUGCCAGCAGCCGCGGUAAUACGUAUGGGGCGAGCGUUGUCCGGAAUUAUUGGGCGUAAAGGGUACGUAGGCGGCCUUUUAAGUCAGGUGUGAAAGCGUGAGGCUUAACCUCAUUAAGCACUUGAAACUGGAAGGCUUGAGUGAAGGAGAGGAAAGUGGAAUUCCUAGUGUAGCGGUGAAAUGCGUAGAUAUUAUGAGGAAUACUGGUGGCGAAAGGCGAUUUCUGGACUUUUACUGACGCUCACGUUCCGAAAUCGUGGGGAGCAAUUGGUUAUUACCCCUGGUUUUCUCGGCGAGUCCUCUCGUUUUUUU